This 284-nucleotide ribosomal RNA is filed under the name uncultured bacterium. RNAcentral describes it as "partial 16S ribosomal RNA". It matches the Rfam family "Bacterial small subunit ribosomal RNA", at positions 333 to 609 of the family's 1533-position model. The record is from RNAcentral.
UACUUCCUACGGGACGCAGCAGUGGGGAAUAUUGCGCAAUGGGCGAAAGCCUGACGCAGCGACGCCGCGUGAGGGAUGAAGGCCUUCGGAUCGUAAACCUCUGUCAGCAGGGAAGAACGGUCACUGUGCUAAUCAGCAGUGAAUUGACGGUACCUGCAAAGGAAGCACCGGCUAACUCCGUGCCAGCAGCCGCGGUAAUACGGAGGGUGCGAGCGUUAAUCGGAAUUACUGGGCGUAAAGCGCUCGUAUGCGGUAUGUCAAGUCAGGGGUGAAAUCCCCUCGCU